This 497-nucleotide ribosomal RNA is filed under the name uncultured bacterium. Its description in RNAcentral is "partial 16S ribosomal RNA". It matches the Rfam family "Bacterial small subunit ribosomal RNA", at positions 28 to 507 of the family's 1533-position model. The record is from RNAcentral.
GAUGAACGCUGGCGGCUUGCCUAAUACAUGCAAGUCGAGCGAACAGACGAGGAGCUUGCUCCUCUGACGUUAGCGGCGGACGGGUGAGUAACACGUGGAUAACCUACCUAUAAGACUGGGAUAACUUCGGGAAACCGGAGCUAAUACCGGAUAAUAUAUUGAACCGCAUGGUUCAAUAGUGAAAGACGGUUUCGCUGUCACUUAUAGAUGGAUCCGCGCCGCAUUAGCUAGUUGGUAAGGUAACGGCUUACCAAGGCAACGAUGCGUAGCCGACCUGAGAGGGUGAUCGGCCACACUGGAACUGAGACACGGUCCAGACUCCUACGGGAGGCAGCAGUAGGGAAUCUUCCGCAAUGGGCGAAAGCCUGACGGAGCAACGCCGCGUGAGUGAUGAAGGUCUUCGGAUCGUAAAACUCUGUUAUUAGGGAAGAACAAAUGUGUAAGUAACUAUGCACGUCUUGACGGUACCUAAUCAGAAAGCCACGGCUAACUACGUG